UACGUAGGUGGCAAGCGUUGUCCGGAUUUACUGGGCGUAAAGAGCGCGCAGGCGGUCGUUCAAGUCGCGUGUGAAAGCCCCCGGCUCAACUGGGGAGGGUCACGCGAUACUGAUCGACUCGAAGGCAGGAGAGGGUAGUGGAAUUCCCGGUGUAGUGGUGAAAUGCGUAGAUAUCGGGAAGAACACCGGUGGCGAAGGCGGCUCGCUGGGCCGUUGCUGACGCUGAGGCGCGAAAGCGUGGGGAGCAAACAGG
This 253-nucleotide ribosomal RNA is filed under the name uncultured bacterium. RNAcentral describes it as "partial 16S ribosomal RNA". It matches the Rfam family "Bacterial small subunit ribosomal RNA", at positions 524 to 776 of the family's 1533-position model. The record is from RNAcentral.